Molecule: ribosomal RNA, 542 nt
Filed under: uncultured bacterium
Lineage: Bacteria
Description: bacterial SSU rRNA
Rfam family: Bacterial small subunit ribosomal RNA
Source: RNAcentral
AAUAGAUACCCCGGUAGUCCACGCCGUAAACGUUGGGCACUAGGUGUGGGACUCUAUCGACGGGUUCCGUGCCGUAGCUAACGCAUUAAGUGCCCCGCCUGGGGAGUACGGCCGCAAGGCUAAAACUCAAAGGAAUUGACGGGGGGCCCGCACAAGCGGCGGAGCGUGUGGCUUAAUUCGAUGCAACGCGAAGAACCUUACCUGGGCUUGACAUUUAUGGUAAAGCGGAUGAAAGUCCGUGUCCUUCGGGGCCAUAAACAGGUGGUGCAUGGCUGUCGUCAGCUCGUGUCGUGAGAUGUUGGGUUAAGUCCCGCAACGAGCGCAACCCUGUCCUAUGUUGCUAGCGGGUAAUGCCGAGGACUCGUAGGAGACCGCCGGUGCCAAACCGGAGGAAGGUGGGGACGAAGUCAAGUCAUCAUGCCCCUUACGUCCAGGGCUGCACACGCGCUACAAUGGCCGGUACAAAGGGCUGCGAACUCGCGAGGGUGAGCCAAUCCCAAAAGCCGGUCUCAGUUCGGAUUGCAGUCCGCAACUCGACUGCA